UGUAGCUGCAUGGUAUUCUGCUGCAGGCGUGUUCCCAUCAUCUGCAGCUGUUACUCUCAGGCUGCAGGGGAAACUGACAGGGAAACCUGCCCGGCCCACUGAGCCUGUUCCAGCUCGCCCCCUCCCACCAUCAACCUGUCAGCCUUCACCUGAAUCCUCCGCCUGCAGCUCCAACCUUACAUAACAGGUAUUUCCCAGAAGCCUGUUGGAACAGAGCCGUCAACAUGUGAGGUAUGGAGGGAAAAAACACACACAUACCUGUGGAGUAUGUGGUUGUGCAACAGUACAGUGACCUUCACUACAGAGCCUCAGCUGAGACCGAAGAAGAGUCAUGGUUUCGUGCUCACUUUACAUGUCUACAUAGAAUCUGCAUGAAGCUACGUUCAUCUUUCCCUGUAAAGUGUUUAUCUCUGUAGGCUGAGAGUGACCUUUGACCUUGACAUAUCCAAGGAAGGAGAGGCUGCGGUGGCUGCAUGUUGGAAAUCAUUGAUCAGUGAUUGAUCCCAUGUGACAGAGUUUACAGGCACUGCGUAAGAAACAGUGUAAUUGUUGGGGACUACUUUCAGCGGCGGAUUAAUCCACAUCAGAGAUCAUGUGUAACAUGU
This is a long non-coding RNA of Lates calcarifer (barramundi perch), 605 nucleotides long. RefSeq lists it as uncharacterized. The transcript has 6 exons. The record is from RefSeq and is a predicted model, not a curated record. NCBI's taxonomy places the organism in Eukaryota, Metazoa, Chordata, Actinopteri, Centropomidae.